AUUGAACGCUGGCGGCAUGCUUUACACAUGCAAGUCGAACGGCAGCACAGGGAGCUUGCUCCUGGGUGGCGAGUGGCGAACGGGUGAGUAAUGUAUCGGAACGUGCCUGGUAGUGGGGAUAACUACUCGAAAGGGGGGCUAAUACCGCAUGGGAUCUUUGGGUGAAAGGGGGGGGCCUUCGGGCCUCGUGCUACUGGAGGGGCCGAUAUCAGAUUAGGUUGUUGGUGGGGUAAAGGCCUACCAAGCCUGCGAUCUGUAGCUGGUCUGAGAGGACGACCAGCCACACUGGGACUGAGACACGGCCCAGACUCCUACGGGAGGCAGCAGUGGGGAAUUUUGGACAAUGGGCGCAAGCCUGAUCCAGCAAUGCCGCGUGCAGGACGAAGGCCUUCGGGUUGUAAACUGCUUUUGUACAGAACGAAAAGUCUCUGGCUAAUAUCUAGAGAUCAUGACGGUACUGUAAGAAUAAGCACCGGCUAACUACGUG
Molecule: ribosomal RNA, 487 nt
Filed under: uncultured bacterium
Lineage: Bacteria
Description: partial 16S ribosomal RNA
Rfam family: Bacterial small subunit ribosomal RNA
Source: RNAcentral